GACAGAGGGGGCAAGCGUUGUUCGGAAUUACUGGGCGUAAAGCGCGCGUAGGCGGCUUGGCAAGUCGGGUGUGAAAUCCCCGGGCUUAACCUGGGACCUGCAUUCGAAACUGUCUUGCUAGAGUAUGGGAGAGGGAAGUGGAAUUUCAGGUGUAGCGGUGAAAUGCGUAGAUAUCGGAAGGAACAUCAGUGGCGAAAGCGACUUCCUGGACCAGUACCGACGUUCAGGCACGAAAGCGUGGGGAGCAAACAGG
This 253-nucleotide ribosomal RNA is filed under the name uncultured bacterium. Its description in RNAcentral is "partial 16S ribosomal RNA". It matches the Rfam family "Bacterial small subunit ribosomal RNA", at positions 524 to 776 of the family's 1533-position model. The record is from RNAcentral.